Molecule: unclassified non-coding RNA, 218 nt
Filed under: Hevea brasiliensis (rubber tree)
Lineage: Eukaryota; Viridiplantae; Streptophyta; Magnoliopsida; Malpighiales; Euphorbiaceae
Source: RNAcentral
AGGUAAGGUUGUUGAUUAUCCAUUUUAUAUUAUAAUUGGCAGAGACAUUGUUCGUAACGCAAGUCAUGGAUCAAAUCUGGACUUUUAUGUUUUCUUAAUGUCACAAGAAAAGAUCACCUGUUAAUGUUUACUUUGUACACAUGGUAUUUGAUAAAAUGCCUCAUAAUGUACUAGCACAGAUGUUUGUUUGGCAAUGGAAAAUUGGUGGCUCUUUUGAA